This 1954-nucleotide long non-coding RNA is filed under the name Capsicum annuum. RNAcentral's name for it is "long non-coding RNA (CANN_LNC007320)". Lineage: Eukaryota; Viridiplantae; Streptophyta; Magnoliopsida; Solanales; Solanaceae. The record is from RNAcentral.
CCGGAGUUAAUCAACCAGGUCAACACCUUUACUUAAGCAUGAUUCUCAUUCAAAGCACCACUAUUAGAGAUGUUAAAGAAGAUAAACAUUUAUGCACAAAAACUGAAGAAAUAAUUAUUCAGCAAGAACUUUAACUGCAAAUCCUAGAACUCAUAUGUAGUUAUAUCAAAGUACUUUACUAAACAAGGAAUAAACAAGUUCCAGAUAAGAACUAACACAAAAUGCAUCAAAUAAGUAAAAAAAGGACGUUAUUUCAAAAUCAAACGCAGAUCACAAAUCAUCGAGCAAAGUCCUUACUUACCAAUUGAGCGACGUCCGAAGUUGUUUAACUAUCAUUAAUGUAUCAUGAGAGAAACUGGAUGCAUUAGCAAUUCACGAGCAAACUAAGAAAAACAAAAACUCAUGGAGGGACAACCAAGGUAUCAAUCAAUUUGACUAUGCAUUCUGCACUUUGGUCAAGACAAUAAUUUACUGCAUUAUUGUUUAUUGUUUCUUGCUUAACUAAUCAUACUUGAGUUUCGAUUCGAGGUUGUCUUUUAAGAUUACUUCACCUCUGACUUAACUAUUCUCUCCCACUAUUACUUGUAUACUAACACGUAGAUUAAAUUAAGAUCUUAAAUUCUUGUUUAAAUAAAGUGUGUCACAUAAAAUUGGAGAGCUUAAGUGUUAUGCGUAAUAUCUCCCAAACUUGUUGCUUCUACUAUUUGCUCUUUAUCACUGACUUUUCGGCCCUAAUUGAUAAGACAGUGGCAGAUCAAGUGAUGGGUUCACGAAUUCAAUAUAAUCCAAUGUUUUAAGGUUGAACCCUAUAUAUGUACACAAAAACAAGUGUUACAAAGUUGAACUCUAUAAAUGAACACGAUCACAAGCAUGCUAAGGUAGAAUACCAUGCCAAAAAUGGGCAAAUAGAUUAACAUGCUGCCAAAAAAAAGCACAACCAAUGCAUUUCAAAGAGAAUACAUUUAUCAAAUUGAGCUCAUAUUACUUAUAGCUAUCUAAAAUAAGAUAGCUAUUUUGGUGGUCUUUACAAGUCUCACACUCUAAAACAUAAAAAUAUAGAGAUUAAAAGAUUCUAGCGGAAUACUACUCUCAACUCUCAAAAGAUUCGAGCCUUCACUCCACUUGGGCAUUACUUUGCGACGUUGAACUUGGACUUACCUUUCAAUUUUUCCAUGAACUGUAAAGAAAAACAUAAAAAAUAGUUAGUACUUCUUUGAUUUCAAAAAGAAUUAUAGCUCAAAAUUACUCAAAAUACCUGUUUCAUUUGAGGAUGUUGGAAGUUUUCAUUGAUGGGAAUUUCCCAGGGAGAGAACUCUAUAUCACGAUAUAUGUUAUCGCGACAAUGUAAAUGGAACCAUCCUUUUUGUUAAGACAUCCAUAGACAUACGAAUCAUUCUCAUCAAUGCCGUCAUAAUAAAGUAUACCAUCACAUGAAAUACAGUUUGUUUGGAUGGCACCAAACACAACUCCAUGAGAACUGUUCAAACAAAUAACACAUAAUAACAAGUUUUUUUCAAUUUAAAUAAAAUUAAAAAAAAAAAAAAAAAAGAAUAACAUACCAANNNNNNNNNNNNNNNNNNNNNNNNNNNNNNNNNNNNNAGAGUGUCGAACGACCUUUGGGGUAGUUGUAUUUCACGAUUGUUAACAAAUCAUUUUUUACUUGUUCAAUUGAUUGAGGUAUUGACGAUUGCUCCAUGAGUGUAAUUUCAUUGUGCACCUUAAUUACUUUGUUCUUUGCUGAUACUCUAGAUUUCCUUGUGGACAUUGUGGAGUUGAAUAACCGGCCACUGUAAUAAUUAUAGUUGUCGGAGGAAGGGUUGUCGUUGUGGGGUUGGGGGUAAUGGGUCGGGUAGAGGGAUUUAUAUUAGGGUGGAUUAAUUGAUUGAGGAUAAAAUAAAUAAAACUGGAAAGAGUCAAAUUUACCCCUCUAAUUUAAAAAAUUAAUAUAUUAUCG